AUACGGAAGGCAGCAGUGAGGAAUAUUGCGCAAUGGGGGAAACCCUGACGCAGCAACGCCGCGUGAAGGAUGAAGGCCUUCGGGUUGUAAACUUCUUUGAUGAGGGACGAAUAAUGACGGUACCUCAAAAACAAGCCACGGCUAACUACGUGCCAGCAGCCGCGGUAAUACGUAGGUGGCGAGCGUUGUCCGGAAUUACUGGGUGUAAAGGGCGUGUAGGCGGGAAUGCAAGUCAGAUGUGAAAUGCCAUGGCUCAACUGUGGACCUGCAUCUGAAACUGCGUUUCUUGAGUGCUGGAGAGGAAAGCGGAAUUCCUAGUGUAGCGGUGAAAUGCGUAGAUAUUAGGAGGAACACCAGUGGCGAAGGCGGCUUUCUGGACAGUAACUGACGCUGAGGCGCGAAAGCGUGGGGAGCAAACAGGAUUAGAUACCCCGGUAGC
Molecule: ribosomal RNA, 439 nt
Filed under: uncultured bacterium
Lineage: Bacteria
Description: bacterial SSU rRNA
Rfam family: Bacterial small subunit ribosomal RNA
Source: RNAcentral